RNAcentral lists this ribosomal RNA (504 nucleotides) under uncultured Glomeromycotina. RNAcentral's name for it is "SSU rRNA". It matches the Rfam family "Eukaryotic small subunit ribosomal RNA", at positions 591 to 1097 of the family's 1831-position model. Lineage: Eukaryota; Fungi; Glomeromycota. The record is from RNAcentral.
CCAAUAGCGUAUAUUAAAGUUGUUGCAGUUAAAAAGCUCGUAGUUGAAUUUCGGGAUCAAUAUUUCGGUCAUGCCGUUGGUAUGCACUGUUAUCAUUGAUUUCUCACCUUCUAAAGAACCGUAAUGCCAUUAAUUUGGUGUUACGGGGAAUUAGGACUGUUACCUUGAAAAAAUUAGAGUGUUUAAAGCAGGCUCACGCUUGAAUACAUUAGCAUGGAAUAAUGAAAUAGGACAUCCGAUUCUAUUUUGUUGGUUUCUAGGAUCGAUGUAAUGAUUAAUAGGGAUAGUUGGGGGCAUUAGUAUUCAAUUGUCAGAGGUGAAAUUCUUGGAUUUAUUGAAGACUAACUACUGCGAAAGCAUUUGCCAAGGAUGUUUUCAUUAAUCAAGAACGAAAGUUAGGGGAUCGAAGACGAUCAGAUACCGUCGUAGUCUUAACCAUAAACUAUGCCGACUAGGGAUCGGAUGAUGUUAAUUUUAAUGACUCAUUCGGCGCCUUACGGGAAA